Molecule: long non-coding RNA, 1723 nt
Organism: Lagopus leucura (white-tailed ptarmigan)
Lineage: Eukaryota; Metazoa; Chordata; Aves; Galliformes; Phasianidae
Exons: 5
Source: RefSeq, a predicted model, not a curated record
AAGAUACAAGAGAGGAUAAAUUUAGCCCAUCCUUUUCCCAUUGAUAAGAAGGAACUGCAUAUAUGAAAAUAAUUCCUAGUCCUACUUUGUAGUUACCAACAGGAUCUGGAGGUCAGACUACUUCCUGAGGGAAAGAAGGAGCAAUGAAAGCUAAAGCUAAGGCUACAGAGAUGAGGACCUGGGGAUGUUCUUUCUAAGUAUAUUACGUACAUUUGAGAGAUUGACAGACCACAGUUUGAAGAGAAGCUCGGAGAGAAAUCCAUACCAUUCUUUGUCAUACUCCAUGAACUGAGUGAUCUCAUGAGAAAUGAGACCUUUAGCAGACGACAGACCUGAGAAGAAUGUGGAUAUGGAUCUCCUACAAAAUAUUUUGGUGUGUUACAGUAGCAAAGAACUGCAUCAGUUGGCUCUCCUCCCUGCUGCUUGACCUGACUGCACAUCUCACCUCAGCGCUAUGUGUAGCAAUGUGGAAUUGUAGAAUCAUUUCACUGGGAAAGGACACUUAAAGGACAUCUAGACCAAUUCCCCUGCAGUGAACAGAGACUAGAUCACAGUGCUCAGAGCCCUGUCCAGAUUGACCUUGAACAUCCCCAAAGACCGGGCAUCCACUACAUGGGGACGUAAAAUUAAGUCACCAGUACCCACAGGAGACUUGAUGAUUUCUUUCCACCAGGAAGGUUGACCUGACUCAUCACUCCAUUUGUCUUAAAAUAACAAAAUAAACAAAUCCAGAGCAAGAGAAACAGAGAAGUUAUCACAGAAGAUGCAGAAGCUUGCCUCUGACUGCUAAUAAAUAUAAGUGAUUACAGCAGCUCUCUCAAACCAACCUUUCCAGUCUCUCCAUUGCAAUUAACUGUACAACCAGGUUAACCAUGAUAUACAUGUAACUUUCAUUGUAGUUGAAAGUAAUAUUUGUUUCUGAAUCUGUGUAUUUCUAGUUUGAUUGCUGAUGUUAAGGAAAACCUCUCCUGUCUAUUUCCCUUCUCAUUUUCUGGUAUCUUAAAAAUAGAAUUGGUAAUCUGAAAGACAAAUGAUAUUUGUGCCUCUUUUGUAGUUAUGUCAAAAAUCCCAAUAGGCCAUUACUUCAAGCAGAAUUGGAUCAAUGAGAUGAAUAUUUGUACUCUGUCCUGCCCAAAACCUGGAUGCACACAGGGGCAGUGAUGACCAAAGUAGAAAGGACAAAAACAUACCUGGGCAAAAGUUUUUCAUUUUUAUUUUCUCUAGAGACAUAGACUGGAUUAGCAUAAAUUAAUUGUGAAAGUUCAUCCCAGUUCAGAGGCACGAAGCUUACUGAAUUCAGCCUUAAGAAUGACUUUCUCCAGUGUUCACAAAGAGUGUGUACUCCUGUCCCCUUCAACUAAGUGCAACCAUUAUCCAAUCCAAAAACUCAUACAGUUGCUCUAUCAUGCUAUACCAUGGCCAGACAGGCAAGGGAGGCAAUUGUCCCCCUCUACUCUGAGGUGCCAGCUAGAGUACUGCAUCCAAGUCUGGCGCCCCUAAAACAGUAAAGGAUCUGUUGGAGAGGGUCCAGAAGAGGGCUUGUUCAGCCUGGAAAAGAGAAUGCUGUGGGGAGACCUUGUUGAAGGCUUCCAAUAUUUAAAAGGAAUUUAUAAGCAUGAAGGAAGUCAACUUUUUACAUAGGUAGAUAGUGGUAGGACCAGGGGGAAUGAUUUUAAAUUAAAGGAGGGAAGAUUCAUAUUAAAUGUCAGGGGGAAGUUUUUUA